RNAcentral lists this ribosomal RNA (722 nucleotides) under uncultured Actinobacillus sp. Its description in RNAcentral is "bacterial SSU rRNA". It matches the Rfam family "Bacterial small subunit ribosomal RNA", at positions 99 to 817 of the family's 1533-position model. Lineage: Bacteria; Pseudomonadati; Pseudomonadota; Gammaproteobacteria; Pasteurellales; Pasteurellaceae. The record is from RNAcentral.
CGGACGGGUGAGUAAUGCUUGGGAAUCUGGCUUAUGGAGGGGGAUAACUACGGGAAACUGUAGCUAAUACCGCGUAAUAUCUUCGGAUUAAAGGGUGGGACUUUCGGGCCACCUGCCAUAAGAUGAGCCCAAGUGGGAUUAGGUAGUUGGUGGGGUAAAGGCCUACCAAGCCGACGAUCUCUAGCUGGUCUGAGAGGAUGACCAGUCACACUGGAACUGAGACACGGUCCAGACUCCUACGGGAGGCAGCAGUGGGGAAUAUUGCACAAUGGGGGGAACCCUGAUGCAGCCAUGCCGCGUGAAUGAAGAAGGCCUUCGGGUUGUAAAGUUCUUUCGGUGAUGAGGAAGGUGUUUGUUUUAAUAGAGCAAGCAAUUGACGUUAGUCACAGAAGAAGCACCGGCUAACUCCGUGCCAGCAGCCGCGGUAAUACGGAGGGUGCGAGCGUUAAUCGGAAUGACUGGGCGUAAAGGGCACGCAGGCGGUGACUUAAGUGAGAUGUGAAAGCCCCGAGCUUAACUUGGGAAUUGCAUUUCAUACUGGGUCGCUAGAGUAUUUUAGGGAGGGGUAGAAUUCCACGUGUAGCGGUGAAAUGCGUAGAGAUGUGGAGGAAUACCGAAGGCGAAGGCAGCCCCUUGGGAAUAUACUGACGCUCAUGUGCGAAAGCGUGGGGAGCAAACAGGAUUAGAUACCCUGGUAGUCCACGCUGUAAACGUUGUCGAUU